RNAcentral lists this long non-coding RNA (1400 nucleotides) under Penaeus japonicus. RNAcentral's name for it is "uncharacterized LOC122254820". The record is from RNAcentral. Lineage: Eukaryota; Metazoa; Arthropoda; Malacostraca; Decapoda; Penaeidae.
AAUGAACAAAAGAAAAAAAAAACUAAGGGCAAAUGUAAAUGUGGGAGAGAAGGAUCUGGUUUGCUGAGAAUGUAAAUUAGGAAGAUAAGACUAAAGAUGAAUGCAGAAGAGGGAGAGAUGAAGGAAGGGCUCAAAAUGAAGAGGUAGAGAGUCAGUGUCAAGACAACUGUGAGUAAAAUAUCAUCUGAAUUCUGUACAAUCACAAGAUUUAUAGAAUAGAGGGAAAAGGACCAUGUGGAAGAUGGAAGAUAAAACAAUGUCUAAAAUACUUCCUUCUUUCAAUAAACGAAACCUGUAGUUUAUGAGAUUUUUAGAAGUCCAAUAAUAAGAGUUAAGUCCCCCGUCAUUAUUCCAAAUUCCCAUUUUCUAUGAAAACCAUGUACGCGCAGUGAAACAAGGGAUUCAAUUCAAAGAUUUACACCACAGAAGUUUUCUCUGUUUUUAUUGCAGCGUUUGGGGGAGUAAGAUCAGCAAUCUCAUGUGGGUGGAUUUUAAACAUCUAGAGAAUGGUUUGAUAAAGAAGCGGAGUGGGUAUUCGUUAUGAUAAUUGAGUGGAUAUUGUUUUUGUCGGUAAUUUAUCCAACUGAGAAAAAAAAAUAUAUAUAAAUGAAUAAUUUUGUUUCGGAAGAGCGAAAGAAUGAAAAACAGAAGACCAUAGAAAAGGCUCAUAUGUCAAUAGCACGUCCACUUUUUUCUUUGUCGUUUUAAAAAGAUAUAUGUAAAGGAUUGACCAGCAACAUUAAAAAAAAAUUGAAUUCCUCUUUACCCCAGAACCAUAAUCCUGUCCACUAGCAACAUCUCUCCAUUAUUACCAAUAUCAUACAAUAUGAUCUAUGGGAGAAAUCCUUUUCUGUAGAGAGGGAAAAAAAUAAUGUGAGGCAAGAUGGCAGAGUAGUUGAGAGACCAAACAUACCAGAAACAUGAGUGGAACCCAGAACAUGAUACAGCUGACUUGAAGCCUUUGAACCUCUCCAUGGCCACAUGAACCCAAAGGAGUCACAGAAGAAGACACAUUGAGAGGCCACAAGAUCGAGGCCUCGGAACAUAAGCUGUAGAUCAAAUCAAGAGACAAAACUCAGAAUUCAGUCCCUGUCCCAUGAAUGAUUGUUUCUGAAGAGGAUUGGUUGAAUACUAUGAACAUUGAAGGAGAUAUGAGACAAGUUUUCUUCAGUCUACCAAAUGAAAUGAAAAGUUGAAAUGAUGAUAUGGUGCGCCGGACUCUUUCAAGAAAAGAACAACAAACAUUGACAUCAAGAUGGCAGACUCACUUUAGUUCCUUGCUAAUCCAAAGGAAAUGUUAGAAUUGUAUAUUACAUAGAAAUCGAGUUCCCUUAGAAUUCUCUUCCACGAAUCAUGGCAGAUAUAAUUGCCUCAGUUCUAUCAUGCUACAACAUAAUCUG